This 616-nucleotide ribosomal RNA is filed under the name uncultured Legionella sp. Its description in RNAcentral is "bacterial SSU rRNA". It matches the Rfam family "Bacterial small subunit ribosomal RNA", at positions 242 to 849 of the family's 1533-position model. Lineage: Bacteria; Pseudomonadati; Pseudomonadota; Gammaproteobacteria; Legionellales; Legionellaceae. The record is from RNAcentral.
UAGCUAGUUGGUAGGGUAAAGGCCUACCAAGGCGACGAUCGGUAGCUGGUCUGAGAGGAUGACCAGCCACACUGGAACUGAGACACGGUCCAGACUCCUACGGGAGGCAGCAGUGGGGAAUAUUGGACAAUGGGGGCAACCCUGAUCCAGCAAUGCCGCGUGUGUGAAGAAGGCCUGAGGGUUGUAAAGCACUUUCAGUGGGGAGGAGGUUACUUAGGUUAAGAGCUAGAGUAAUGGACGUUACCUAAAGAAAAAGCACCGGCUAACUCCGUGCCAGCAGCCGCGGUAAUACGGAGGGUGCGAGCGUCAAUCGGAAUUAUUGGGCGUAAAGGGUGCGUAGGUGGUUUGAUAAGUUAUCUGUGAAAUUCCUGGGCUUAACCUGGGGUGGUCAGAUAAGACUGUUGGACUCGAGUAUAGGAGAGGGUAGUGGAAUUUCCGGUGUAGCGGUGAAGUGCGUAGAGAUCGGAAGGAACACCGGUGGCGAAGGCGGCUACCUGGCCUGAUACUGACACUGAGGCACGAAAGCGUGGGGAGCAAACAGGAUUAGAUACCCUGGUAGUCCACGCUGUAAACGAUGUCAACUAGCUGUUGGCCUUAUGAAUGAGGUUAGUGGCGC